UCUUCCCUCUGGCGGCGUGCCUAAUACAUGCGAGUCGAGCGAACAGACGAGGAGCUUGCUCCUCUGACGUUAGCGGCGGACGGGUGAGUAACACGUGGAUAACCUACCUAUAAGACUGGGAUAACUUCGGGAAACCGGAGCUAAUACCGGAUAAUAUAUUGAACCGCAUGGUUCAAUAGUGAAAGACGGUUUUGCUGUCACUUAUAGAUGGAUCCGCGCCGCAUUAGCUAGUUGGUAAGGUAGCGGCUUACCAAGGCAACGAUGCGUAGCCGACCUGAGAGGGUGAUCGGCCACACUGGAACUGAGACACGGUCCAGACUCCUACGGGAGGCAGCAGUAGGGAAUCUUCCGCAAUGGGCGAAAGCCUGACGGAGCAACGCCGCGUGAGUGAUGAAGGUCUUCGGAUCGUAAAACUCUGUUAUUAGGGAAGAACAAAUGUGUAAGUAACUAUGCACGUCUUGACGGUACCUAAUCAGAAAGCCACGGCUAACUACGUG
Molecule: ribosomal RNA, 497 nt
Filed under: uncultured bacterium
Lineage: Bacteria
Description: partial 16S ribosomal RNA
Rfam family: Bacterial small subunit ribosomal RNA
Source: RNAcentral